GGGGCUAUAGCUCAGCUGGGAGAGCGCUACGCUGGCAGCGUAGAGGUCACCGGUUCGAUCCCGGUUAGCUCCA
RNAcentral lists this transfer RNA (73 nucleotides) under Ilyobacter polytropus DSM 2926. It matches the Rfam family "tRNA". Rfam says of the family: Transfer RNA (tRNA) molecules are approximately 80 nucleotides in length. Their secondary structure includes four short double-helical elements and three loops (D, anti-codon, and T loops). The record is from Rfam by way of RNAcentral. Lineage: Bacteria; Fusobacteriati; Fusobacteriota; Fusobacteriia; Fusobacteriales; Fusobacteriaceae.